This is a non-coding RNA of Carica papaya (papaya), 530 nucleotides long. The record is from RefSeq and is a predicted model, not a curated record. NCBI's taxonomy places the organism in Eukaryota, Viridiplantae, Streptophyta, Magnoliopsida, Brassicales, Caricaceae.
AUAUGCCGGAUUUCUUUUUUCCGUCACUAAAAAUUAUUCCGUCCGUCUCCACUACUUUAGUUCCUCCCGUCAAUCAAACGGACCGGACUAUCUCAACAUUCUCAGAUGCCGGGCUCCACGUCUCCGCUUAAGUGGGUCCCACUUAAAUACGUGGACCAAUAAUAUUUCGACAACUCAGGAGUGUGCACUACUCCAGUUUCAGUCUUUUUGUGCUCCAAUGGCUAUUAUACGCCUUCUCCUUCUCUCUCCCGCUGAUGCCCUUUUCAUUUCACAAAAGAAGCGCCAACGAAUUUGGAUCCAAUUGCUUUAUGAAUUUACUAAAUUUUAAAUAAGUAUUUUUGUUUUUCUAUUUAAUUUUUAAAUAUUAUCGGAUCGAAUAUCUUCAUCUUCUUCAUAAAUUCUGAAGCACAAAAAAUAUUGAACGGCCACGAGUUGCCUUUUCCAUUAUCCUGUCGCUGUUUAGUUCGGUCUGAUUUCAUAGAGGCCAAGUAUUUUGAGUUAUUCAGGAUUCGCGUGGUGAUAGAGUGAUC